This 74-nucleotide transfer RNA is filed under the name Mycoplasmoidaceae bacterium. RNAcentral describes it as "tRNA-Trp". It matches the Rfam family "tRNA". From Rfam's summary of the family: Transfer RNA (tRNA) molecules are approximately 80 nucleotides in length. Lineage: Bacteria; Bacillati; Mycoplasmatota; Mycoplasmoidales; Mycoplasmoidaceae. The record is from RNAcentral.
AGGAGCAUAGUUCAAUGGUAGAAUAAAGGCCUCCAAAUCCUCUGAUUCGGGUUCGAUUCCUGACGCUCCUGCCA